UGUAACCAGAAGUCAAUUUGCCGUGCGAUCCAUGCGCAGAAUGAGCAAUCGGCAGACAACCCUCUCCCCUCCAUUAGUACUAUGAAUAUGGGAAUGGAGGGAGCAAACAAGCUUUGCAGGCAUAUAGACUGUUGUCAACUGUGAUAGUUGUAUAUUUGUAUGGCAUAGUGGUCCAACAGCAGCAGCAGCGUACAUCUUCCAGCAGGUACAAGACUAUACUAUGGCAGUAGAAGAAAAUGGCAGAUCGUUAUUCAAUAAUAACCCACAGAACUUCCGUUCCCUAUACAUAUCUUCAAAGGCAGCAAUUGCUUCUUUUUAAGAGAGUUACAACUAAUCAACUUUCAAUUGAAUAUCUUCAGAAACGCUCCAUUUGUGCUGAGACUGGAACAACGAAUCUCUCAGCCGAUCCUUCAGUAUAUCUUGUUUCUGUUCUUGUUCACAUUCUGGAGUAGCCCUCGUAUUGCUCCAUGAAUGAGUCGUUGAACUUCUUGAAGCUCGACAUGAUGGCAGGGAAGUCUUCCUCAGCUGGAAGGAUAGUUGUCCGAAGGUGGAACACCCUGUAUUCAGAAAAGAAACAACAAAUCGAUCACUUCAGUAACGUCCUUCCAGAUUUCCUACUCAGUUGUUAUUUACAGAUCACAGAAGAAAAUCAAAGUAACAUGUCUCAGAAGAUACUUAUAAGAAUAUAAAUAACUGGAUGAAGGUCAAGGGCAGCAGAUUCAACUACGCUUCUUUUCUUUUUCUUUUUUUCUUUUUUGAAAAAAGCUACACUUCGUUCUCUUCAUUUUUUCAGUGACAUAAACGAUAUAUAUUCUGUUCUGAAGUCUUAAAUUUAUGAAACUUCAUACAUCACAGAUAAGUCAUCAUAUGAAUAAAUCACUUACCCUUCCUUUUGCCCAAAACCAGAGCCCGGAACAGUGGAAAUUCCUGUUGCCUCCAGGAGCUUUAGACAGUAGAAAACGUCUGCUGCUUUGCCAGCUCUUUUUGCCGCCUCAAUGGCUCUUGGUGGCAGCCUUAUUUGGGGGAAAGAGUACAUAGCUCCUGCAACAACACAAUCAAUUGCAAGAGAAUCAAGUAAGCAAUAACCAUACUCUAAUUGCUGCAAAUCGACAAAGUUUAGAAUUUUGAUGCUACCUUCUGUGAAAUUGCACACGACAUUUCGGCAACUGUUGAAACCAUCUGUCAUCAUGCGUGCUCUCCUCCUCAAAGAUUCAUGGACGGACUUGCUGCAACAUCAUUUGGAGCCACAUCAAACAUCAAGCUUAAGAAUGUACAGAAAAAACAAAUAAAUAUUCAGUAUCCCGCAUAGUUUCAUUUUCUACUGAAAUUGGAUGCAGACUAACACUUCUGAGGGGCAGUAUGUUUAACCUUUCAGCGGCGAACUUGGGGUAUGAGAUAUCUCCAGGUUUCGGAGGGUUAACCAUUACUCCCAUCUGUAAAAGCCAAACUUAUUCAGAACCCCCCUUUUUUCCAGAAGCAACUAUUCAGAACUGCUUCGUAAUUUAGUAAGCAAAGAAAUGAAGCUUCAAGCAAAUUAGCAUAGCUUGAACUGAAUUAGGUUAAGAAAAUUGGUGUAGGUCCAAAGAAUGAAAAAAUACAUAUAGUAAUAACCUGUCCAGCAUUGCAGGUUAAUGUGAACGAACAAACUUGUCAGUAAACGAACCACAAAAAAUAUUCCCAUAACUAUACUGAUCCAUAGAAAUUUGUAGAAUUUGCUUGAUGCUUCAUGAAUAAAAUCAGUGAUUGACAUAAUUUGAAUUUGCUUCUAAUUUGAGGUCCCGAGAUCAAUCCAAACAUAUGUCGUUCCAAAACAGAGUACCGGGUUUAUAGAAGGAAAAAAUAAUAAAGAAUCAAACAUUGAGCAGUGUUUCACUUACAAAAAUUUGCCCAGGAACAUUUGGACUCAGUGCUAUUGAUGCAACCUUGUAGAUCUCAUCUACUGUCUGCAAGCUCAAAUCAACAAAGUGGUUAGCAUCAGACCUUGAACAUUAUAUUCAGAAAAUGACCUUCAAAGUGCCUUUUUGUACAAUAGAGUCUAACAUAAGCCUUAUUUAAGUGACUAGCUUGUUUAAAGGGAGAAUCUUAACUGACAAAGUUUAAAGGUUUCCAGAGCGUUUAACACUACUCUGCAGUUUAGACUGGACAAGGAAACCAGUUGUAAAUGUACAUCGUGGUGGCAUAAAUAUGUAACUCCAGUAGACCCUACUGAUUACUCUAAAGUUUCUGAAAGUUUGUCAAAGGAGACUUUGGUAAAAGCAAGACAUUGAUGCAACAAAUGUAAUAAUAGCACUCUAGUCAGUUGGAUGGACCAUUGGCCCAAAUUGCAUUGUGCAAGAUAUUCACAAGUAAUGCCUUGUUUAGUUCACCCCAAAAACCAAAAACUUUCAAGAUCCCCCAUCACAUCGAAUCUUGCGGCACAUGUAUGGAGCAUUAAAUAUAGAUAAAAAUAAAAACUAAUUACACAAUUUGCCUGUAAAUCGCGAGAUGAAUCUUUUAAGCCUAGUUACUCCAUGAUUGGACAAUGUUUGUUAAAUAAAAACGAAAGUGCUACAGUAUCAUUUUCCCAAAAAAAUUUGGAACUAAACAAGGCCUAAGAAAGUUAAACGGCACAGCAUGGCCAAUUAAUUAUACUGUGCAGUUUACUUAAUGUGUUUGCAGCUGGGUGUGAACAAUUCAAUAUUUUCGAAUAUCUCAUUUACAUCUUUUCAUACACUCAUUGUCUCAUUGACUUGACAUAGCUAGGAACUUUUCAAUGAUACUUGGGACAAGUGACAUUCUGACAUGCUGCAAAUAAUAUUACCUUGGGAGGAAGAUUUGUCAUUUCAAAGUAUCCACCACGUUGUCCACACUCUCCCCAGUUCCCUUUGGACACAGUGUGGAAAGAAACAAGCUGAAGCUCCCUGCUUAGUGGCGGGCCCAUGUCGAACAUAACCUGGAAAAAGUCGAGAAAGGCAACAUCAGCAGCGAGUUUUGGAAUUCCCAACAAUCUUUUAGUGUACCAUGUUAGAUGGAUAAUCUUUUAUUUUAGUUAUUAUAUAUUGUCCAUAUUUGGUUCCAAGGGAUGUUUUGGUGAGCCCAAAUAUUAUAGGAUUGUCAGAUGAAAACCAUGCUUAAGUCAAGUUGCAACCAUGAGUUCAUGACAAAGAAUCAUUGGUCAGAAAACAAAAGUACCUUUCUUGAGCUUAUAAAUGGGCGCUCAUCUUGAAAGACGUUCUGCUGAUACACUUCAUCUGCAAGCAGAACUAAGUUUUCAUGGUAGCAAAAUUGCAGAACUUCCUUUAUAUUCGGUUCACUAAGGCAUUGGCCAGUGGGAUUUCCUGGAUUUAUAAUCACCAUUGCUCGAACCUAAGCAUCAUAGAUAAGGAAAAGAAAAAGAUCAGAGCAGAAUACAUACAUAAAAAAGGCCCCAUUUUUACAUGAGUAGUAUUGAGUAUUGACUAUGUGAUCAUCAGAGUGGAAUACACAAAAAAACGAGAGAGACCACAUUUUUACAUGAGUGGCAUGACUAUGAUGGUUUCAAAAAGAUAAAAAGAACCAAGAACUGCAAGAAGCUGAGAUGAUGUUUAGUGAUCAAUAUUAAUCAUUAAGACCAAAAUUCUACAUGCUACCUGUUAGUUGUUUGGUGAUCAAUACCAAAGGUUCCUACAAGUUUGCUGGACAUGACAAGUUGUUGAACUAAGGGGCAUGAUUUGAAGCCCAUGGCACAAAAUGUUCAUGAGUGGUUCCACAAAGGAAAUGCUGGAAGUAGCUCGAUGAGACUAGAAUCAGUCAAUGAUAUGGUAUUGACAUUUUACUUGGUAUCACUUUCUGUAUCCAUGUAAAUGUAAUGUAACUACGGAUGGGCAAAGGCAAGCUCAUAAUGCGAUGUGCAAAAAUUGCAGAAAUCAUGUAGCAAGAGAAGGGAAAUUUUGAUUAGCACAAUGAUGACUAAUAAAAGACUCACAGUGAUUCCCUUCGACCGUGCCUCUGCCACUGUUUUUCGGAUAUUUACAAAGUCAAGGCUCCAGUUAGCCUCUUCUUCCAAGUAGUACGGGACCAGAGCACCACCAUAUAGGGCAAUGGAAGCAGAAUAAAGUGGGUAUUGAGGAACAGGGACCAAGAUCUGCCACAGAAGAUUUAUCAACAAAAUUAGUCUUUACUCUUCAGUACGAAUAGCAUCACAUCGAUAUGUGGAAAAAAAGACAUGUUUUUGAAGAACAAUCAUACCCCAUCCCUCUCGUUUCUGAUGAUGGUGUUCAGUAUUUGCAUCACACCUUUGCUGGCACCGUCUGUCAGGUAAAUGAGUUCUGGAUCACUGCAGUAAGCAGAGCAUAGAAGCGUUAGAGAUAAAAUGGUCUACAGCUCUGAUAAAAUUAAUUUUCAGCAGUCCUUUCUAAAAACAUAAAAAUUUCUCGGCAGUAUCAACGUCGGAUAUCCAUCACGCUUGUAGAUGAAGUCAGCAACUUCCUUCCUAAUUCCAGGGAUACCACGGGAAUCACUGUACGCACCUGAUGGUCAGAUGAAUACCUUGGUCAGACAGAGUACUCAUAAUCUCAUAUGACUGAACCUACGACAUCACAUACAACUGAUAAAAGUUGCUUGUUUUUUCGAUUAUUAUUAUUCAGACUGCAAAAGGUUUGAUACUUUUAUGAACCUUGUAGGAAGACAACAUUAAUCAGGAUAUGGAUAUGAUAAUUCUAGAAGACCUAAAGCCAAUGGCUCUUGUUCCCCCCCCCCCCCCCCCCCCAAAACAAGGUCACUGUAUAUGGUAACGCACCUAGACCGCCCUUAGCCAUGGCGAGGUAGUGCUUGGCCCUAGCGAUGGCAUCCGCCGGGAACAUGAGGCCGACGUGGGGAUCAUCGAGGAGGAACGGAGCCUGGCACAGCGCCACCACCUGCGCACGGGAUGCAGUAGUCACACAAUACAGGGUUUAGUCGUCGGGGUAAGAAUAGAAUAGAUAGAAGGCGUCGAACAACCAACACCGCGAGGAUGCGAUGCGAAGCGGAGAUGGAUGGUCCUGACCUGGCGCCCGAAGGUGAGCGGUUUCUGGCCGAGAGCAUGCGGGUUGCCGACGUUGGUGAAGAUGAUCUUCUUGCCCUCCUUCUGGAGCUCGGAGGCGCGGAGGUAGAGCUCCCCGCGCACCGCGUACUGCACCUUCUUGACGUUCUCGUUCAGCUCCUCGUAGUCCAGCGGCUUCCUCGCCAUCUUGCCCCGCUGCCGUCACUCCUCCGCCGCCGCCGCCGUUCCCCUUCCUCCUGCGUGGAGUGGCGGGUGGACUGGACUGGAUGGAUGAGUCACGGGAGAGAAUGGGGAAGGCAGGUGGGGACGAAAACCAGGAAGCAGGGGAGCAGGUGAGGAUUUGUACUCACUCACUCUACUGCUGUGCUGACUGCUGCCUCGUGCGUCUGCGUGUGGGUGGAGAGAGAUUUGGAAUAUGGGCUUGUCGCGUUGCGGCCGUGCAGAUUGGAUAAUGAGAAUGGAUGGAUUAGCAUUUUCUGGGCAACCAAAUUGGCGCGAGAAUUUUGGCCACUGGUUGGGUUAUCGCCUCGCCCGGUCCGCCAUGCGGUGGAGAAGCCCCCGCCGACGAGACGACGAACCGUGCAAUGCCAAUUGCCAAUAAUGAACAGCAGCAAACUUCCAGCCAACUUCCUUUCUGAAGCGCCAGAUCAUCCAACUUUUUGCUUUUGCGAUUGCUACCCAAACAAACAAAAGUGUCAUCACGAUUCACAGCACUGAAUUGCCCCAUCAGCGUGAACCACGGCAACAACAGUCCACUGGCACUGAUGAGAACGAAGCUUGUUCAGAAAACUUCAGACAGGAAUUAGAGGGAACAUUGGUUGUAGCUAAUGCUAUACAGUAGUACUCUGCAUAGUCUCUCUCUCUUUCUUUCAGAAGAGUAUAUGCUCAGUUUGCGAUAGGAAUUUCAGGGAGGCAUCUUUCGGAACGUAGGAAUGAUAAAACACAGGAAAAGAAAAAAAAAAGGAAUAGAGUAGGAAUGCAAGUGAAAAAUAAUGGAAUCGGAAACAUAGGAAUUUUUCAUAUCUAGGUGUUUGGGUAGGCAAAGGAGAAACACACGAAUCUUAAAAGGAAUUUUAGGAGCAAAAAUAGAGGUUCUUGUUUUCUUAAUCAACUUAAUUAUUUUAUUCCACUACCUUGAUUAGACACAAACUGCUCCCAUGAAUCCAUUGUUUGCCUUAUUCCUUGUGCAUAGAAAUUUUUCCAUGAGGUCUAAGUGGAUUGUUUUUUUCCUAUUAUUUUCCUAUGGAAUUGAAGGGAAAGAAAAGUUUUCUUUGGAAUUUCUAUGAACAAUUUCUACCAACCAAAGGCUGCUAUAGGAAUUCGAUCCAUAGGUUUUUGAAUCCUUUGUUUUUUUCCUCAGGAGCUCUUAUUGUGCCACAUGGUACCACGACAGAUAUUUGUUACCAAACAUGAUCCUACCACUUAGACCUUUUUGGAAGGAUAUGGAUGGAGGGGCUUUAGGUCCUACACUGUUUAUUUAAAGAAAUAUAAAAAGCUGGGAGUACAAAUACGUGGAGAUUCAAGAGACAAAGAAAGAAAGGAAGAAAAUGGACAAAGCAACAUAUGGACAAGAUUUUGGAUCCAUAAAGAAAGAGGUGCUGCUUUUCUUGAUGUCGCUGUUAAAGUGAGCAAGGACAAUUCUUUUUUGAGUAACAUCUUACUCUCUUGUACAUUUUCUUGUAGUUUUUUGAAAAACUUGUCAUUCCUUGCUCACCAUAUUGUCCAACACAACAACAUUAUUGCAUUCAUGAAGAAGGUAGAAUUAAGUUGAUCUUUCAAAUAGCUCAUAAUGUGGAAACUCGCUUGGGUCGGUAUGGUUAUUUAUAUUUAAAAGGAUAGUAUAGGGAGAGAUGGCCUGCACUUUCUUCCACUUGGAGUGAGCAAAGGGCGCAGUCAUAUGAAUCAAGAUGCAUGUUCUUUCGUUUUAAGAUAUUCCUUGUGCUUAGUCUAGCUUUGAUGAGGAUCUAGACAUAUAAUGUGUUUUGGCUGACCGAUAGAUUCCCAUAACUAUUUCUGCGUUGUAUGUGCCUUUGUCCAACCAAGGCCUUGCAUGCAUUAGAGGAGAAUCCCCCCUCCCCGCAAAUGUAGGCUCAGGUGUCCUCUCCAUCAAAUAAGAUUGUUUCUUACGUCAUAGCUAAGAGGGUCUAUAAUUGAGUAAAAGCUAGUUCUCAGAGACAUAGAUAAAACAAUUUAGUGAUUUGAUCUUGUUGGAAGACUUUGCUGACUGGUAGAGACUUGUUCUUUACAAAGGAGUAUAGCUCUGGGGAAGUGUUUUUCAAAGCCUCAACAUUCCAUUUGUCUUUUCAAAAGAAGAUACUCAGCCCAUUGCCUUAGUUUUACCGAUGGAAUGUCCAAUCUGUCGAAGAACUUAUGAAGGUUAAUGAGCAUCAUGGCUCUAUUGUGUUUCUCAAGGAUGCCACUUAACUUCAAUUAUGUUGCCCCAAACUUUACAAAUAAUCAUUUUUUUCCUAAGAGUUGAGUUGACUGUCCUUUUGCCAUUGUGUGUUCCCUUUUGCUUCCACCGUCUCGUGUUCUUGUGCCUCUUAGUCCACAUUCUCUUGGAACAAUCAUCAUGUCCAUACUCUAACUCAUAAUCCAAAAAAUAAUUAUCUUCACUCUCAUUGUCUUUGGAACUAACUUUGUUAACAUCUUCAUGGAUAAAUAUAUGUUGAUCAAUCCUUUUUAUUAUUCACAUCAGUGUAGAACACACAUGCAAUUUCUCACCAUGAUUCUUUAGCACAUAAUUAACUCUCUCUGGGCUCAAAACUUUUGGCAAAGAUGACAUUGGAUUGACUACUAUGUCGUCCCAGUUAGCAAUGCAAGCAAUGUCUUCAUCGUCAAAGAACACAACCAAAGUCUCGGGUCUACCAACCACAAAUGCCAUCACAUUGUUGUCAUGGUCCUCUGGAAUCACUCUAAGCCCAUCUUCUAACGUCUUCCCUGGUAACAACCAGUAAACCUUCAAACUUGGAUUGUGUUUGUAUUGUUACUCCCGUUGGAAGUCCUCAAACCACAACGUCAACCAAGUGCUUUUGUCAACAUGAUCAAACCAUGAUAUCUUUUCAUCGGCAUACAAACGAAGAUAACCAUACCCAACAAAAAAUCCACCAUGGUGAACCUCAACCAUGAACUCUUCACUACCAUCGCCUACAUACGCAAAAACAUUAUCUUCUCAACACCAACCCCCCCCCCUAGAAACUGCCCCAAAAUUGACAAUCUCACAAAGUCAAUAGCGAGUAUUGCAAACCCAACAUUAUGCGGCGACCCCUAUGAGUACAAAAUCUAAGAAAAGCCUAGAGAUUAGGGCUUCAUCAACCCACCGUACAAAGGUUCCGCAUCGCGUUUCUCUUGCAAUCAUGUCACCAUCCUUCUCGAUUGUCAUGGCGUGCUUGUCUAGUGUUGGUCCCUUCUUCUCCAAUCUCCUUCAUGUGUGGACCGCCUUUGUGGCGAUGCCUGUAGCAAAGCACCUUCGAGUUCUCCACCGGAAGCGGAGAAGGUGAAGAGUCAGAUCGGGAAUGGCUAACGAUUAAAGACUUCCAUAGAUAGGAGGACUAUUACACAAAAUUGUACAACGACUUGGCUUCCUGGUUGAGGCAUGCACGGUGGCAAGCCAUGUAGGCACUAUGUUGUUCCACACCUGAUUGGACAUUAAUGGGUCCCAAACAUUGGUUAGGGACCAAAAUGAUGCAAUUUAUGAGUAUGGUACAAGAACCGACAUGACACACCCAUACAAGCAUUAUUGUUAAAUAUAUUUUCUCCCUCUCUCUUUUCUUCCAGAGAAUGUUACGUUUGUGGUAGGAAUUUCAUUGUUCCUCAUGGCACCACAAGUAUUUGUUCCAGUCAAGACAGAUCGAUACACAUUGUUUGUAAGUUUGUUACCAAACAAGAUCCUACCACUUGACUUCAAUUAUUAUGUUGUCCCAGGCUUUACAAAGCAAAGCUGUGUGCGUGUCCUGUCCCCGGAUAUUUACAUUUUGGCAGCGCCAUCCGACAUUAUUUUCCUCUAUUUUUUUUCUUGUUUUUUCUCCCCACUACGAAGCAACAUCAACUACCCUGACCCCAUUGUUGGUUAAGUUACAUACAAUCCGACAUUCACAAGAGGUGAAAAUGCGAUUGAAACGGGACGCUUCAUUUCGCGGAUGAACAGAGGGGCAGGCAUCCGUCCCGUGCCCACCGAUUUGGAAAUAAAUUCCUGUCGUUGUGCCUGUCAGGCAAUGACAGGAACAGCAGCUAUAUACAAUCGGAUGAUGAUUCACCUGGCUGCAACAGGAGAAAUGUUUACCCAUUGCAGCUGCAACUGUAUCUCCCCGCUCUCGACGUUCUUGAGCCGGAGGAUCAUGUCCUGCACGAACUUGCCAUUCCUCCAGCACACGUGGCUCUCGUCGGCGAGGCAGUUCUUGGUGCUCGGCCUCACGGACCUGAUGAUGGCGCCGUUCCUGAUCUCCUCUGGGUUCAUGUUCACCGCCUCUAUCAAUGGUGCGACGUCGAUCUCCGCGUCUCCCAUCGGGUCAUCUCUGCUGAAUGUGUCCUUGUCAAACACCUCCUGUAUGCAGCAAUGUGCAUCACAAGAUAUAUAUAGAUAAAUGUGUGUGAGUCGUACUCAUGGUAUAUAUAUAUAUACUCAGAAAAGGAAUACAUUGUACUACAUGGCAAUCUAUAUAUAUAUAUAUAUAUAUAUAUAUAUAUAGAAUGCAUGCAUGGAAACAAACAAAAUCGAUCUGCUGCUCACUCACAAGCUUGAGUGGUUGGCUGGGAUCUGUGACGGUCAGAGUUAGCUCCUCAUGCCAGAUGGGGUUGACAGAUCUCUUCUUCACGCUUGUCUUCAGCUUCUGCAUGCACAUCAUAAAACACAACAUUAUCUACAGUAUAAUCAAACGCUAAGGAAUCAACAAUGCCAAAAAAAGCUGGAUACUCCUAGAUGGAACAAAAGUUAAGAAUCCAACAAGAACACAGACCUUCUUGCCAAGUCGUAAGACAACAUAAGGAUCACUGCCUCUUGCGUCGCGGUAGGCAAGGUUGAUCCCUCGGACCACCCGGACUUUCAAGAGGCCUACCAAUCCGUCCAUAAUUGAAUCAAGUGUUGCUUUAGAUCCUGUAGAUUAGAAGUUAGCGUGCUAAAUUACAAAUAAAGAGAGGAGUGUGGGACGAAGAAGGCGCCUAAUUCGAUCAAAGAAUUAGACGACUUCUUACGUCCCUUGCCUCUCACUAGAGUUGUGUGUGCUGUUUUGCGUCCUUGUUUUCGUCAACCUAAAUAGUUUGCCCAAGCAAUGGGAGUCUAAACGGGAGCCACCUCAACCGUAGGAGGCUAGUUUGCCAUUUAAUCUGUGGCCUGAAUUGCUAGUUUGCAAGCAGCCAGCCAAAAGCUUCCGACCGGGUUUACUAAUUUUAGGACGAAUAAUGGCAAUGUCUUCUUUUUUCUUUUUUGGAAACUUAGUUAUAUAUGAUUCCUCUUUUGUUUUUUCAAGUACACAUACAGAAGAAGCUUUGUUAGCUAUAGGUUGGAAUGUGUAAGCUUGAGGGGCAAGGGCGUUAGGGUUCCUGCACCACCUGGCUGCUGCGAAGAUGGCAUUGCGACAGGCGAAUCAUGGUGUUGAUGCAAAACUGAUCUGCAAACACAAAGGGCUAAUACCCGAUUCAAAUGUUAAGGCGUGCCAGCCGAUUUGACCUUACUAUCGGCAAAGGUGAUAACUCGAAUACUUUAGUCCUGACAACAGCGAUGCGCCCGGAUGUCACGGCUAAGAGGUACUCACGCGGAACUUGAGAACACGCCGAGCUUAAGUCGACGAAUUCUUAAGAACUCGUAAUAAAAAGGAAAAAGUAUGACGAAGUCGUCAAAAAGUAGAUGCUGGAAUAUGAGUAAAAACGUGUGUUUGAUUGAUUGAUAGAUAGAUCAUUACAAGGCCCUAGGGUCUAUAUUUAUACCCUGCUCAAAGAGCUACAACCAGACACGAUUAGAAUUCGAAUUCCAAAUUACACGGAAUCCGUAUACAAAACGAUGUAAAUAAUUAAGGAAAUAACAAAACUAUCCCUCGUGACAAACCGAAACUCCUCCACAUAACGACUGGCAGCUUCCGGACUCCCUCUUUGCAUCAUCGGCAGACCCUUUGCCAUAGUCAUCGGCAGACUUUCUUAUCUAGCCAUCGGCACAAUAUUACUGCCUGUAGACUUAGUCACGUUCAACUUCUCCCUCAUCGGCAACCAUCCUCAUCGGCAACUCACUUUGUAAACAUCGUACUGCCACCUUAUCCUGCCAUCCUAGACACGUGCCCAAAAACGAUGUCAACACAUGCCCCCUAGUUUCGGAGUAUAAAACUAUUAAUGCUCCGAAAUUCUCUGCAGUAAUGAUGCCUUUUCCCGCAAUUAAUGCUCCUAAUCUAGUAACCGACAACCUCAAUCUGAACAACUCUGAUCCUAUUCUUCCGCAGAUUCCUCGAAAUCCCUAACUUCCUAAACGGACAUUUUUUCUCAACCGUACAUCGGCAACAAUACCGUUACAAAGAUCUGUCGAUGUUCUGACCAGGAUAUUCGCACAAACGGUUACUUCCCCUCUAUCCGCCCAUCGGCAAUAUGACCGUUAUAGAAUAUUGCCGAUGGACCGACCAGGAGAUCUCGCACAGUAAAAUAUCUUCAGAUAAUGACCGCUUCCCGUCAAAUCACCUGCACAAUCCCUGGAUUACCGUGCGAACAGUUACCAUAUCCACCUGAGUACCCUCGGAUUUCUCGGAUGUGGCAAAGAGAUAAGUCGGAUUUGCCCUUGCCCAUUUUGUCCUAUAAAUAGUUCCUUCUCGGGUACUCCUUCCCUAUCACACCAUUCUACUACCCAACUUUACUUUUCCAGCGGCGGCGCCACCAAAAACUCCCAAGGUCUCCGACAAGUACUCUUCUUCAUCAACUCCGGCGCCUUCAAACGCUUCCUUCGCAGCAAGAUGGCCGUCGGCUUCGUCGUCCCUGAGGUCAAAUCUCCACCCCGUCUUCUGUAUUUUUCUUCAUAUCCCUGUUCACUCGCAAUUCAUUUUACUGAAUAUCUUCCUUUUCUUUCCUCUUUGUAUUUCUUUUUACGCCCAAAACCACUAGGAAUUGUCCAACAAAAUUGUCAUCCCCACCGAUCAACCACACCUUCAAUGCCUCGGCCCUCUAGGGGACCCAGAUCCAACUGACCUUAUCAACGCAGAAACCAACAGGAUCCCCUUCAGAGCCGAAAAUUUUUCCUUAGAUUUGUGGAAAGACACCUUCCGUUCUUGGCCCAGCCCAACUGUAGGGUGGAAAGACUGGUUCUUGAGGGUCAGCAACUCUAAUGAAGUUCAGUGGGGUGAAAGGAAGCUAGCCCAAUGCAUUAGAUUGUCCAUUGCCGAUAUGCAUAGGAACGAGUCACUGCUGAUAGCUGCAUCCUACUUUUGGUCAGACACCCUCAAUGCUUUCGCCUUUGGCCACGGCCCUGCUUCUCCUACCCUUGCCGAUGUAGCCAUGCUUACUGGUCUAGAUAUAUCUUCUGCCGAUAGCACCCACUUUUUUGAUACUACCCCUAGUGCCAAAGUGGAGACUCGCGCUAUCGGCGGUUGGUCAGGGUACAUUCAGAAGUACCGUGGGAAAGGAUCUGUCACCAUAAAGGAACAAACCACCUUUCUGAACAUGUGGCUGGACAAGUUUGUAUUCUGUGGUCGAUCGGCAGGACCAACUUCCGUUUAUCUAUCGGCAGCGGAGAGACUGGCUAACGGUGGCCAAUUUCCUCUCGGCCGAUACUUGCUUGGCGCUGUUUACCACCUUCUCCAUCAGGUAGCCCAGAAACUCCUGCUUGGCCAGUCCAUCUGCAACCUGGGAGGCCCCUGGUGGUUUAUUAACAUGUGGCUCAAUCUGCAUCUGCACAAGCGUCUCAACUUCAACCUGUUCACACAGCGUUUCCCAAGAGAUAUAGCUGAAAACCAUGUAAUGGGUGAAGAGGAAUCGGCAACAUGCGCCCCCUUGAACUUUGGCGAAGCUGUCAUAGUUCUGCCUGGUUCAGGGGGUAAUCCAGAUCAGAUCGGCCGAUUCUUCCAAACUCUGUAUGAGGGUUUGGCCAGAGACGAACGACCAUGGCUGGCUUAUGAUGACCCAGAUAGCAUGCUCCCUCUGACCUUCAAUCCAUUUGAUGAAGCUCUCGACAGGGACAAUGAGGCGAUGAUGGCAAUUGUGACUCCCAGAAUCAUUCCAGUGAAUUUCUUUGGUAGCCCAAAAACCUCCCCUCAGACUUAUGAAUUUUACAAUCCAUCGGUAUUAGCUCGCCAGUUAGCUUUCGGCCAGUUGCCGAUUGCACUUCCUUAUGCCGAUGUGAUAAAACCCAGAGAAACUAUCAACAACCUUCUUGAGUGGACUCGAGUAGCCCAACUACCACCAAACGCCGAUACAGAUGUAGAUCUGUCAGAAUGGGUUCCGGCUGCUUUUAUCACUCAGGCAUACAAGUUAUGGUGGGUAGAAUGGAAAGAGCAUCUAUUCUUCAGAUCGGCCCUUUCAUACCGCGGCAUGAUCGACUCCGAAUACGAAGUUCCCGUUGACACUGUAAGCAUCUUUUACCGAUGUUCUAUUUUCUCAAUAUCACUUCCAUCGGUAGCUUACCCUUAUGUUCCUUUUGCAGGUUGACAACAUCCCUUCAUCGGUUAGCAGGAGCGGCAAGCCGAUUGACUUGUUUCCAUCAGGCCCGAUUUCCUCAAUCGGCUACAAUGCUCCCACUCUGGCUUCCAUCGUGCAUCGGGGUGUGCGCCUCAGGAAAGUCACCACCAGGAGAACCAGACAUCACCAACGGUAGCUGCUCCCACUCUGGCGCGGGCUUUCAAGGCAAUUUAUCAAAUCUUUUCCUUUUGCGCUGACUAUCUUUCUAUCGGCUUUAUUUAUACUUAUAAACCCUUGUUCGUUAUUGCAGCAAACCAGUGCAUCGGCAAAGGUCACACGCCAAGGUGCCGAUGCCCCCCAGUCCAGCCAGUCAAAGAGAAAGGGCACCACAGGUGCUAAGACUGGAACAAAG
RNAcentral lists this long non-coding RNA (13994 nucleotides) under Sorghum bicolor (sorghum). RNAcentral's name for it is "long non-coding RNA (SBIC_LNC001852)". The record is from RNAcentral. Lineage: Eukaryota; Viridiplantae; Streptophyta; Magnoliopsida; Poales; Poaceae.